Molecule: long non-coding RNA, 390 nt
Filed under: Corvus moneduloides (New Caledonian crow)
Lineage: Eukaryota; Metazoa; Chordata; Aves; Passeriformes; Corvidae
Description: lncRNA (ENSCMUG00000020135.1)
Source: RNAcentral
UGGCAAGGUAACAAGGAGCAUCACCCAAACAAUAAAGAAGACAUUGAUUGGAAAAGAUCCCUUGGGCAUGUGACAGAAAUAAAUGAUCCAGGGAGAGGGGCACAUGGGCUGGGGCUGCUCAAGGAAGCUGAAAAACUGAAGGUAAAAGAACUAUCUGGGAUCAUGGGGUGCUCACAGUGCAGCAGUACUGAAGAGCCACGUUGAGGGCUGAGACAGUGGCAUUGACAAUGGGGACACACCAAGACAACGUGUGACUUCCUUGGGCUCCUGUCCAGAAAAGCUCUUAAGCAUCAUUAACCUGUAGACACCUGAGUGAUGUUAUUGAAGUCCAUGGAUUUUCCUUCAGAAACAGAACUGCUGAAGGUUUGUACAGAGCUUGCACUGAAAUCC